RNAcentral lists this unclassified non-coding RNA (1468 nucleotides) under Anneissia japonica. RNAcentral's name for it is "uncharacterized LOC117119862, transcript variant X3". Lineage: Eukaryota; Metazoa; Echinodermata; Crinoidea; Comatulida; Comatulidae. The record is from RNAcentral.
UUCAAUAGCUGUUUCUACUUUUUGCGAAGCGAGAAAAAUCGUGCAACCAAUCAGAAGUCGGUUUUCCACUAGGCGAAUUUAUUCGCGCGAAUCGAUUUCGCAUUCACAUUUCUAUCGGAGUUUUCGCUUUAGCGAAAUUCGUAGUUCGAAAAGUUUCUACUUUUUGCGAAGCGAAAAAAUGCACAGCUAAUCAGAGCUCAGGAACCGAACCGACGCCUUCGAUUCGCUCCAAUAAAUUCGCCUAGUAGAAAACCGGAAGAGAGGAAGAGAGGGAGUAAAUGCACUUAACGUAUACGGUAUCCUGCAACGAUGUAAACAAUGUACCACAACCCUAUUUCAACACGUUCCAAAGUCGUCUGAUACAGGCUGAUCUGACCUUGGAAGUUGUGAAGCUUAUAUUUUAUUAGUCCACCACAUCCUUAUUCAUCAUAUUAACCACCAAAUGCGUGUCAACCAUAUCCUUAAAGCAUGACGUCAGUAUGGUCAAGAAUGUCAGGUGGAUGCUGUCGAUCGGCGAAUGCCAAAGUGGCUUCGAUCAUCCUGAUCAUUAUUGGAAUAAUAUCAGUCAUUGCGGCAAUAGUUGUUUUCGCAGUUUUUGCAUCUAAUGACUCGGCAAUUUUUGGUGUACCAGCAAUUGUCGCUGGAGUGAUGUUGAUUACAGAGGGCGUGCUCGGUCUCAUCUUUGCCAACAAUGCGAAAAAUAGAUGUUGGAUGAUAACAGUCAACGUCGUUUCAAUUAUCAUGGUGGUGAUCUCGAUUGCAUGGUUACUUGGAAGCCUAAGUUUUGUUGGAAUAUUCACCGCCCUCAAAGUGGGUUGCAAUGCAUGCGGUCCAGAUGACUACUGCGAAAACUGUGGCAUUGAUCCCGACCGAACUCUAGUCGCCCCCUUAGUUCGGACCUCUCCGUCGGACAUGUAGGACACUUGUCGGCAAAUUUUGGAGCCACCGCAGAAUAGUCUUUUCAGUAUGUUAUCCCCAGCUUAGUGUUUAUGGUUCUAUUAUCAGCCAUUACUCUUGCGACGUCAAUCGUGUUGAUUGUUUCAUCUUGUACUUGCCGCAGAUCAAAUAUGGAUUCUGCCCCAAUAUAAUGCUAUUGUUGGGUCGUUGCUUAUUCUGCUGAACCAAAAAUAUUAAUAUGCAUUAAACAUCAACGUGGACGUACAUUAAUGCACCUAUUUUGUAUUCAUUUUUAUUGAAUGCAUUGUAGUUUUAGAUAGUUAACAUUUAGAAUUAUCAAUCAAAAAGUUUUUUUACUUUUGUAAAAUAUUUAAUUUAAAUUUGUGAUUUCAAAUUUACCCAUCUAUGAAACAAUCAAACGUAAGAAGAGGCCUACAAAAUCAAAUACAUUAAGGCCCAUUGAAUGUAUCGGUAGUUUUAUACAUGCGAUAGGCCUAUUUCAAUUUUCUUAUUUCAUUAGGCCUAUACUUUUGUAAAAUAUUUAAUAAAACUGUAGUUUGUACUGAAAGAA